GAACGUGUCCGUUGCACAGCAGAGUCCAAAGCAAAUUGAAUUUCUCUCUCUCUCGAUGAUAAUUUCCUUGAGCUCCAAUCCUUAUAAUACGAAGACCCCAACUCCAGGAAGAAAAUGCAAAUACUCGGGCCAAUCAGUGAGAGCACUUCCUUUACGUCUAUUAACAGUUGGGAGAAGAAGAUCCAGUGGAGUUCAGCUUUUGGUUGAAGAGUACAAAGAGAAACUCAAGUACUAUUGCAGUGUUGACGAUAUCCAAAUUCGAUCCAAUCCAAAAAAGUCUUGUGAUGUGAAGGCUCAGGUUGAACGGGAAGACAUGGCUGUCAUGCAGCACAUAAAGUCCGAAGAUUGGGUUGUGAUGUUGGAUGAGCAUGGUUCAAACAUAGGAUCCACGCAGAUGGCAGAAUUGGUGGGAGAUGCAGGGAAUACACUAUAUUUGUUGUUAAACCUAAGGCAACCAUAUUUUUUUCACCACUUCUUUUCAAGGUUCAUCAAGGUUAUUGUUUUGCAUUGGUGGACCUUAUGGUCAUGGGCCACAAUUGCGUGAUCGUGCAAAUGUAACAAUCAGGUUGUCUUCUUUGGUUUUAAAUCAUCAAAUUGCAUUGAUAGUGCUACUGGAACAACUUUACAGGGCAUGGACCAUUCUUAAAGGACAGAACUACCAUCACUAGAAGUGUCACUUUAUUCUUCCAGGCAAGACAUGCAAAGUGGUAUUUUAGAGUAUACUUUUCAUGUAUUUUCUUGUAAAUUGAUUUGAAUCGUUGAACAUUGAAUUCUUCUUUCACAAUACUUUUAUCUCUUGUCAAAAUGAAUUUUGUUUU
Telopea speciosissima is the source of this 818-nucleotide RNA transcript. It is a transcript of the gene named putative RNA methyltransferase At5g10620, with no coding region annotated. The transcript is spliced from 8 exons. Lineage: Eukaryota; Viridiplantae; Streptophyta; Magnoliopsida; Proteales; Proteaceae. The record is from RefSeq and is a predicted model, not a curated record.